This is a long non-coding RNA of Numida meleagris (helmeted guineafowl), 464 nucleotides long. RefSeq lists it as uncharacterized. The transcript has 5 exons. The record is from RefSeq and is a predicted model, not a curated record. NCBI's taxonomy places the organism in Eukaryota, Metazoa, Chordata, Aves, Galliformes, Numididae.
CUAGGUCGCCCGUUGCGUUACUGACGCAGCUCUCUCACAGCUGAGCACCUCUGCUUAUAUCGGCUUUGCAGGGAGCUGACUAAAUGCUUCAAACAUAGGAGAGUCCAUAACAACAGGAAAAUUCCAAGUUUGUCUUACCUGCUGAUUUUGAGGUAGAAGGUCUAUGGUAUUUCACACUUAGAAACAUGCUACUGCUGUGUUUGAGGAAGCAUAUCGCCCAAUACGUGCAAGUCUGAAAUGAGAAAAGAGUGCACCAGAAUAUUACUAAUAAGGUCUCGACUCAAGGAACCUCCUGACUCACCACUGUUGUGUCUGCGUUAGUCUAUCAGUCUGCAUGGGACACGCCUUAGCUGUGAGAUGUGGAUCAGCUGCUGAGAUACAGUAGAGGUGGUGAAUUUUUACAGAGCACACUAUGUUUGAAGAAUGCUUCCAGAUCGAUGCCAGGUACUCUCUGCCUAAGGACA